ACGCUCGACACCUACGAGAGGCAGCAGUGGGGAAUAUUGCACAAUGGGGGAAACCCUGAUGCAGCAACGCCGCGUGAAGGAAGACGGUUUUCGGAUUGUAAACUUCUGUUCUUAGUGAAGAUAGUGACGGUAGCUAAGGAGCAAGCCACGGCUAACUACGUGCCCGCAGCCGCGGUAAUCUGAGCGGGCUGGCAAGGC
RNAcentral lists this ribosomal RNA (198 nucleotides) under uncultured bacterium. RNAcentral describes it as "partial 16S ribosomal RNA". It matches the Rfam family "Bacterial small subunit ribosomal RNA", at positions 328 to 539 of the family's 1533-position model. The record is from RNAcentral.